Molecule: transfer RNA, 47 nt
Filed under: Pseudomonas sp. NFACC37-1
Lineage: Bacteria; Pseudomonadati; Pseudomonadota; Gammaproteobacteria; Pseudomonadales; Pseudomonadaceae
Description: tRNA_Thr_TGT
Rfam family: tRNA
About the family: Transfer RNA (tRNA) molecules are approximately 80 nucleotides in length.
Source: RNAcentral
ACUGACUUGUAAUCAGUAGGUCCCGGGUUCGACUCCUGGUGCCGGCA